GACGAACGCUGGCGGCGUGCCUAAUACAUGCAAGUAGAACGCUGAAGCGAGGAGCUUGCUCUUCUUGGAUGAGUUGCGCACGGGUGAGUAACGCGUAGGUAACCUGCCUUGUAGCGGGGGAUAACUAUUGGAAACGAUAGCUAAUACCGCAUAACAAUGGAUGACACAUGUCAUUUAUUUGAAAGGGGCAAUUGUUCCACUACAAGAUGGACCUGCGUUGUAUUAGCUAGUAGGUGAGGUAAUGGCUCACCUAGGCGACGAUACAUAGCCGACCUGAGAGGGUGAUCGGCCACACUGGGACUGAGACACGGCCCAGACUCCUACGGGAGGCAGCAGUAGGGAAUCUUCGGCAAUGGGGGCAACCCUGACCGAGCAACGCCGCGUGAGUGAAGAAGGUUUUCGGAUCGUAAAGCUCGGUUGUAAGUCAAGAACGGGUGUGAGAGUGGAAAGUUCACACUGUGACGGUAGCUUACCAGAAAGGGACGGCUAACUACGUG
Molecule: ribosomal RNA, 497 nt
Filed under: uncultured bacterium
Lineage: Bacteria
Description: partial 16S ribosomal RNA
Rfam family: Bacterial small subunit ribosomal RNA
Source: RNAcentral